GCGAAGAGGCUUUCCAUGAGCACUCAGACCUACAAACAUCUGGCGUUUCUUGUUCCUCCACUCCGCGGAUGCGGAGCAUGUGACGCCUGGCUAUCAGAGCCUGAUAACCUCAGCGGUUGCGGGUGUGAACCCUGCAGCUGGAGUUGUAGGGGUUUUGUUGCGUCUGCCCUUUGAUCAGCAUGAAAGUGUCGAAAGAUGCUUCUAUCAUGACAGCUAAAGUCACCACUCAAAACAGUUCUGCUGCCCCCCGGCGAAGAAGAAGAUGCAAUGGAUGCUUCCUCUGUACAGCUACUCACGGAUCAGCAGAUAAUUAGCAGCAGUGAAAAAUCAACUUUGUCUCAUAUGUUUGUACUGAAUAAAAGAUGAAAGUCA
Cyprinus carpio (common carp) is the source of this 372-nucleotide long non-coding RNA. RefSeq lists it as uncharacterized. Lineage: Eukaryota; Metazoa; Chordata; Actinopteri; Cypriniformes; Cyprinidae. The record is from RefSeq and is a predicted model, not a curated record.